This 330-nucleotide ribosomal RNA is filed under the name Triticum aestivum (bread wheat). Its description in RNAcentral is "partial small subunit ribosomal RNA". Lineage: Eukaryota; Viridiplantae; Streptophyta; Magnoliopsida; Poales; Poaceae. The record is from RNAcentral.
AUGGUUUCGCCCGUCGUGAUCGCGUCGGCGGGACUCGGGAUGCUGGCGGGCGUGGCCAUGGCAAACCGGACGACGGGCGACGGGCUGCCGGCGUCAUCCAGAUGGGACGCGCGGCCCCGUUGCUCGACUUGCAGCGGCACCGGCCAGGAGGAGUGCCUCUGCAGCCGUUGGUCCGACGGCGACGUCGGCUGCGGGACGUGCUCUGGCUCCGGCCGCAAGCGGUGCCGCAGCUGCGGAGGCUCUGGCACCGGCCGGCCGCUCCCGGCGCGACUCAUCGUCCAGGAGCGGAAGCUGCCGACCGCGCCAGCGCGACGCGGAGACUACAACUGA